RNAcentral lists this unclassified non-coding RNA (156 nucleotides) under Pseudovalsaria ferruginea. Its description in RNAcentral is "partial internal transcribed spacer 2". The record is from RNAcentral. Lineage: Eukaryota; Fungi; Ascomycota; Sordariomycetes; Boliniales; Boliniaceae.
CAACCCCUCAAGCCCUGCUUGGUGCUGGGGCCCUACGUGCGCCGUAGGCCCCGAAUUACAGUGGCGGGCUCGCCGCGAUCCCGAGCGUAGUAACACACCUCGCUCUGGGGCUCCGCGGCGGGCGCCGGCCGUGAAAACGACCAAACACAAACGCAA